RNAcentral lists this long non-coding RNA (722 nucleotides) under Rattus norvegicus (Norway rat). RNAcentral's name for it is "partial SOX2 overlapping transcript". The stretch from base 268 to 540 matches the Rfam family "SOX2 overlapping transcript exon 3". Lineage: Eukaryota; Metazoa; Chordata; Mammalia; Rodentia; Muridae. The record is from RNAcentral.
CCUGCACAGGGCUGGCUGUGGCAGGGGACACUCUCCUGCUGGCUCUCUCUGACCACACAUUAGCUGGCUCCCAUCCUCAGGUGCACGGCCACACCCUUGCACCCAACCUUGAUCCUCUGAUGGGGAAGGUCCCAGGACUUGCCAGCUGGGACAGGCCUCACCCCCAAGCGCUCUAUGCAGUACUGAGAAGCAAACCUGACAGAUUUCUCCAGAAAAGUGGCCAUCCAUGGAAUGAGUGAAAUACUCUUUCUAUUCCAGGGAUUGCAGAGGCAAAGCUAGGCUAGGUCUUGGAGGCUGGUGGAAGGCGGUGCGGGUAAGGCAGGACGCUGAUGGGAGAGACUGGUCGAAGAAAAGCCGAAAUGGAUUCUCCGUGCCUUGGAUGGAGGAAGAGGGGGGAAGUGCGAGCUCCUUCAACUCGUUCUGUCCGGUGAGGAGUGAUCCAGCUUGGGCUGACAAGAGGCUCCGGAGCCUUCAUGUUCAGUGCUUUUUUACCUGCCAAUCAAACUGCUACAAGACAACACCCUGCUCUGGCAUGGACAACCUAGAAAUUAUAUUCUCUUCAAGAUCCAUGAAAGAGAACCUGACUGCUUGCUUUGGUCUGAGAGUUCAGACAUCUCUUCUCUUAAGAAAGUCUUCAUUUCCGUUUGCUGAGUCCUCCUGUUUUGUCAUCGCUGGGCCCUGUAAGAAGUUUGCCAGGAGGUCCCCAGAAGUAGAAGGACCAU